Molecule: unclassified non-coding RNA, 280 nt
Filed under: uncultured fungus
Lineage: Eukaryota; Fungi
Description: partial contains small subunit ribosomal RNA, internal transcribed spacer 1, and 5.8S ribosomal RNA
Rfam family: Eukaryotic small subunit ribosomal RNA (bases 1-73)
Source: RNAcentral
UCAAACUUGGUCAUUUAGAGGAAGUAAAAGUCGUAACAAGGUCUCCGUUGGUGAACCAGCGGAGGGAUCAUUACAGGACUCGCAAGACUCCCGUAAACCACCGUGAACAUACCUAUAACUCGUUGCCUCGGCGGGUGCUGCUGGGUACUCCCCAGCGGCGCUCAGCCCGCCGGCGGCUCGCUACUCUGUCUCGCAGCGUUGGCAUCUCCGAGUAUCAUACAAACGAAUCAAAACUUUCAACAACGGAUCUCUUGGUUCUGGCAUCGAUGAAGAACGCAGC